AAUAUUGGACAAUGGGCGAAAGCCUGAUACAGCCAUGCCGCGAGUGUGAAGAAGGACUUCGGAUUGUAAAGCACUUUAAGUUGGGAGGAAGGGUUGUAGGCUAAUACCCUGCAAUUUUCACGUUACCAACAGAAUAAGAACCGGGUAACUUCGUGCCAGCAGCCGCGGUAAUACGAAGGUUGCAAGCGUUAAACGGAAUUACUGGGCGUAAAGCACGAGUAGGUGGUUCGUUAAGUUAGAAGUGAAAGCCCCGGGCUUAACCUGGGAAUUGCUUUCAAAACUGACGAGCUAGAGUACGGUAGAGGGUAGUGGAAUUUCCUGUGUAGCGGUGAGAUGCGUAGAUAUAGGAAGGAACAGCAGUGGCGAAGGCGACUACCUGGACUGAUACUGACACUGAGGUGCGAAAGCGUGGGGAGCAAACAGG
This 424-nucleotide ribosomal RNA is filed under the name uncultured bacterium. RNAcentral describes it as "partial 16S ribosomal RNA". It matches the Rfam family "Bacterial small subunit ribosomal RNA", at positions 360 to 776 of the family's 1533-position model. The record is from RNAcentral.